UACGUAGGGGGCAAGCGUUGUCCGGAAUCAUUGGGCGUAAAGCGCGUGUAGGCGGCCAAGCAAGUCGGGUGUGAAAGCCCUCAGCUUAACUGAGGAAGUGCGCCCGAAACUACAUGGCUUGAGUACCGGAGAGGGUGGCGGAAUUCCCGGUGUAGAGGUGAAAUUCGUAGAUAUCGGGAGGAACACCAGUGGCGAAGGCGGCCACCUGGACGGCUACUGACGCUGAGACGCGAAAGCGUGGGGAGCAAACAGG
This 253-nucleotide ribosomal RNA is filed under the name uncultured bacterium. RNAcentral's name for it is "partial 16S ribosomal RNA". It matches the Rfam family "Bacterial small subunit ribosomal RNA", at positions 524 to 776 of the family's 1533-position model. The record is from RNAcentral.